AUGGAAGCUGUCGAGAAGUUUUACAAGGCUUACGCACACAGUGUUGGAUUUUCAGUUCGAAUUGGGCAGAAAAGGACCGUAGGUAAUGUGGUGGUCUGGAGGAGAUUUCUUUGUUGCAAAGCAGGUUUCCGAACAAUAAAGGAGGAGGAACGAAAGAAGGAUUCGAAGGGAGAGAAGACAAGAACACAUGCAAGAAAGAUUACUAGAUGUGGUUGUGAGGCCAUGAUAACUGUCAAGCAUAUGCAGGAUGGCAAAUAUUGUAUAUCAUAUUUUCAAGAAGAACACACCCAUGAAUUUGUCACACCUAGGAAGCAGCAUUUUAUCAAGUCUAACAGAGAAGUCAGCGAGAAGGCCAAGACCACACUAUUCACAUGUCAUGCAGCUAGCAUUGGCACAUCUGGGGCCUUCCGAUUGCUUCGUGUUGGUGAGGGCGGAUUCCAGUUCGUGGGGUGCACAAAGAGAGACUUGCAAAACUAUCACCGCGACAUGCGAAGCACUUUCAAAGAUACAAAUGCUCAAAUGUUCAUUGACAACCUCAGAAAGAGGAAGAAAAUCAACCCAGGAUUCUUCUUUGACUAUGUUCUUGAUGAUAAAAACCGACUGACGCGUGUCUUUUGGGCAGAUGCUUUUUGUCGGAAGAAUUAUGCUUUAUUGGGCGAAAUGGUGUCUUUUGACUCCACAUAUAGCACCAAUCAGUAUAAGAUGAUAUUUUAUCCUUUCACAGGAAUAAACCACCAUAUGUGA
RNAcentral lists this ribosomal RNA (744 nucleotides) under Triticum aestivum (bread wheat). RNAcentral describes it as "partial small subunit ribosomal RNA". Lineage: Eukaryota; Viridiplantae; Streptophyta; Magnoliopsida; Poales; Poaceae. The record is from RNAcentral.